GUCUGAUGAACACCUAGAUGACGAGUCUGAUUCGGGUCCACCGUUGGAGACAACCUUUUAAAUUAUACCAUUCAUGCCUAACUGAUA
Molecule: small nucleolar RNA, 87 nt
Filed under: Microdochium bolleyi
Lineage: Eukaryota; Fungi; Ascomycota; Sordariomycetes; Xylariales; Microdochiaceae
Source: RNAcentral